UACGUAGGGUCCGAGCGUUAAUCGGAAUUACUGGGCGUAAAGCGUGCGCAGGCGGCUUUGUAAGUCAGAUGUGAAAGCCCCGGGCUUAACCUGGGAAUGGCAUUUGGGACUGCAAGGCUGGAGUACGGCAGAGGGAGGUGGAAUUCCACGUGUAGCAGUGAAAUGCGUAGAGAUGUGGAGGAACACCGAUGGCGAAGGCAGCCUCCUGGGCUAGUACUGACGCUCAUGCACGAAAGCGUGGGGAGCAAACAGG
Molecule: ribosomal RNA, 253 nt
Filed under: uncultured bacterium
Lineage: Bacteria
Description: partial 16S ribosomal RNA
Rfam family: Bacterial small subunit ribosomal RNA
Source: RNAcentral